UGACCUCGAAUCAGGUAGGACUACCCGCUGAACUUAAGCAUAUCAAUAAGCGGAGGAAAAGAAACUAACAAGGAUUCCCCUAGUAACUGCGAGUGAACCGGGAAGAGCUCAAAUUUUGAAUCUGGCGGUCUUUUCGGCCGUCCGAGUUGUAAUCUAGAGAAGCGUCUUCCGCGCUGGACCGUGUAUAAGUUUCCUGGAAUGGAACGUCGUAGAGGGUGAGAAUCCCGUCUUUGACACGGACUACCAGGGCUAUGUGAUGCGCUCUCGACGAGUCGAGUUGUUUGGGAAUGCAGCUCAAAUAGGGUGGUAAAUUCCAUCUAAAGCUAAAUACAGGCGAGAGACCGAUAGCGAACAAGUACCGUGAGGGAAAGAUGAAAAGAACUUUGGAAAGAGAGUUAAACAGUACGUGAAAUUGCUGAAAGGGAAACRCUUGAUGUCAGUCGCGUCGGCCGGGGAUCAGCCUUGCUCUUUUGCUCGGUGUACUUCCUGGUCGACGGGUCAGCAUCGGUUUCGACCGUCGGAAAAUGGCUCGAGGAAUGUGGCACCCUUCGGGGUGUGUUAUAGACUCGGGUCGAAUACGAUGAUCGGGACCGAGGAACUCAGUACGACCUUCGGGUUCGGGGCUUCGGCUCAC
This 634-nucleotide ribosomal RNA is filed under the name Suillus caerulescens. RNAcentral describes it as "eukaryotic LSU rRNA". It matches the Rfam family "Eukaryotic large subunit ribosomal RNA", at positions 1 to 633 of the family's 3401-position model. The record is from RNAcentral. Lineage: Eukaryota; Fungi; Basidiomycota; Agaricomycetes; Boletales; Suillaceae.